RNAcentral lists this ribosomal RNA (73 nucleotides) under Diaphorina citri (Asian citrus psyllid). Lineage: Eukaryota; Metazoa; Arthropoda; Insecta; Hemiptera; Psyllidae. The record is from RNAcentral.
GCCAGCGACGAUUGCACGUUGAAUGCGCCAGUUCUCAAUGGACCACUGAAGUUAAAUAACGUUGCGCGUGGUU